Molecule: long non-coding RNA, 1527 nt
Filed under: Gadus morhua (Atlantic cod)
Lineage: Eukaryota; Metazoa; Chordata; Actinopteri; Gadiformes; Gadidae
Description: lncRNA (ENSGMOG00000023262.1)
Source: RNAcentral
GUGCUUGUGCCUGACAGGCAUGCCCAGGUGUGAAGUGGGACAACUGACCUGGUAAAUGAUAUGUCGGAUGUGCAUCAAAUUGUGAGUUUUUGUAAAAGCGUUGUGAGCUUACGUUCACGCAGGCGUGUAUACGACUUGCGCAUGUGUGCAGCAUCUGUACAACCUUGGGAAGCCUUCAAGCUAGGUCCUAGCGUUACUAUAACCAUCACACUGUCAUUUGUUUUAGAUAUGUUCAGUCUACUGAAUGACUUUGAGAAUAGGAAUAUAAAUCAUUAGGACUAUGUCUCUAUGUUCGCAGUUAGAGUUACAGUAUUUCUGCUCGAGAAACACUUAAAAUAGAUAAUACGUCUUAGUUGAUAGCCACACUUUGUGACAAAGGCUUUCAUUGUCUCAACUACAGUAGCUCGCUUCGGGGACAAUCUACUGCACUAAUGCUUCUAUAAAUAGUAAGACAAUAAUCACGUUGUGUACAUGCAGUUUAAAUUGACUAUGAUAGCAUAUCGUUGUCACUUCCAACGCCAUUAUCAGAUUAUUAAACUAGCCCUAUUGUUGAUAGGCUAACUAAAACAUAGCCUUACGGGCCUUGCCAUGAUAUCCGAUAUCCGAUCAAAGCAAUAUCUAUGCACCUGCUGAUCAUCUCUUUGAUGAUCAGCAGGCCUCCUGCAGACAGACAGAAGCUCCGCCGUUCAGGUUAUUAUGGGGCUAGCAGACCGGUGCUAGGGGCGUGGCUUCUCUACAUCACCACGCAGCGUCACGGAGAUGCGGAUCGGUUUUUCCUGAAUCGUGCCUUUCCAAGAACAUAUAUAGCAAUAUAAUGACAGUUUGGCUUCGUGUCUAUGUCGUUCGAUCUCACACAUGGCUCAUGGAUACAUGAAUGAACAACUUAGCAUUCGUUUUUGUGUGCGCUAUGUAAUGUGAUGCGCUAUAGCCCAGGCUACACACUCACAAUAGCGACAGAUCCGAAGCGUGUUCCGGUGGAGACUGUCAGAAUCCAGAUGUCCGGUGUCAGUAUGGAGACCGAGGAAAUCGACCUGAUAGCGACAACAGACGCCCCGACAGUGAAUAACGUUGAGACCAUCGCUUGCCCUCCUCUUCCUAUCUGCCGCUGCGCCGGAGCAGAGGCACUGGACCAAGCGGGUGUGACGUCACGGACUCCAUCGAAACGCGAAAGACGCGCGCGGUGGCGACUGAAUAACACAAUGAGGGUCUCGGAAAAUUCAUCAUCAUCAAGUCAUAAUGUGAACCAGAGAGCUUAUUAAACAAUUUGAAAUCAAGCAAUAUCCGACCGAAUGUAUUGACUGUAAGAUGGACGGAUGAACUGUAAUUAACUACUAUGUGAGUGCAUCAUGCAUUACAUAUCAGUAAAUAUUAACCUUUUGCAUGUUAACGACGGCUACAUGUUAUCAUAACACAGUGCCAUGAUUAAAUAAUAAUCAAUUAGCAAACUGUCUCCAGAUCUGUGCGCCCCAACCACCAGACGGGGGCAGGAGAGAGCUGUGUUAUUACAAUAAACCCAUUAGCCUACUG